UACGAAGGUCUCAAGCGUUAUCCGGAUUUAUUGGGUUUAAAGGGUGCGUAGGUGGGUUGGUAAGUCAGUGGUGAAAUCCCCGAGCUUAACUUGGGAACUGCCAUUGAUACUAUCAGUCUUGAAUACCGUGGAGGUCAGCUGGAAUAUGUCAUGUAGCGGUGAAAAUGCUUAGAUAUGACAUAGAACACCAAUUGCGAAGGCAGCUGGCUACUCGGAUAUUGACACUGAGGCACGAAAGCGUGGGGAUCAAACAGG
This 255-nucleotide ribosomal RNA is filed under the name uncultured bacterium. Its description in RNAcentral is "partial 16S ribosomal RNA". It matches the Rfam family "Bacterial small subunit ribosomal RNA", at positions 524 to 776 of the family's 1533-position model. The record is from RNAcentral.